NUUACAAUUAACAAGAAUCCCUAUUAGGGAUUGAAAC
Molecule: non-coding RNA, 37 nt
Filed under: Limnoraphis robusta CS-951
Lineage: Bacteria; Bacillati; Cyanobacteriota; Cyanophyceae; Oscillatoriales; Sirenicapillariaceae
Source: RNAcentral